This 253-nucleotide ribosomal RNA is filed under the name uncultured bacterium. Its description in RNAcentral is "partial 16S ribosomal RNA". It matches the Rfam family "Bacterial small subunit ribosomal RNA", at positions 524 to 776 of the family's 1533-position model. The record is from RNAcentral.
UACGGAGGGUGCAAGCGUUAUCCGGAUUCACUGGGUUUAAAGGGUGCGUAGGUGGGUAGGUAAGUCUGACGUGAAAUCCCGCAGCUUAACUGCGGAAUGGCAUUGGAUACUAUUCGGCUAGAGGGUUGGAGGGGGGACUGGAAUUCUCGGUGUAGCAGUGAAAUGCGUAGAUAUCGAGAGGAACACCAGUGGCGAAGGCGAGUCCCUGGACAACUCCUGACGCUGAGGCACGAAAGCUAGGGGAGCAAACAGG